RNAcentral lists this long non-coding RNA (2129 nucleotides) under Solanum lycopersicum (tomato). Its description in RNAcentral is "long non-coding RNA (SLYC_LNC001299)". The record is from RNAcentral. Lineage: Eukaryota; Viridiplantae; Streptophyta; Magnoliopsida; Solanales; Solanaceae.
AUUCCCAAACUUGCAUCUCUCUAACUUCUUUCUAGUUUCCCUCUCCCCAAACAUCAACCUCAAUUAGAGCCUCAAGUCUAGGGAGAAUUCACCAAGGAUUUCAUCUCAAAUUCAUGGAAAAAUCAUCACUCAGGUAUGGCUUCUUUUACUCUUGGAAUUCCUUUCCCCAAGAGGUCCUUUCAAAGAUGAUUUUCAACUUCCCCAAAACUAGAUUUUCAAUCUAGACAUGUGUUCCCUUUUCAAAACGAAAUUGUUAAUCGAUUAUGAUAAAUUAUAGUAUUUUAUCAUUGUUUAACUAAGUAUUAAUGAUAAAUUAUUGUUAAUCACUCAAUUUUGCCCCUUUGAACCCAUGUUCUUCUGCACACUCAUUAUGCCUUGAAAUUAUAUGAAAAAUGUGGAAGAUGAAUGAAUAUAUGAAUAUGUAGAAUAGUAAUUGUUAUUUAUUAAUUCUUGAAUUUACCUAUUUUAUGCUUUGGUUAUGUAUUCUUUGGUAAUUGAAGUAUGAAGGCAAAGAUAGGGCAAUAAGGUAUGAAGAUUGAUUCUGCUUGAAUUCAAUUGUGAAGUAUAAUUUACUUAGGUAAUGCUUCUAUGUCUAAUGUGUGGUUGUGAUGUUGAUAGAAAGUGUUCCUCAUCCUUAACCCUAGACUAUUGAAUUGGUUAUGAAGUAUGCGAGCAUGUUAAAAUAAGGUUAUUAUAUGAUUAAAAGUAAAUUCUCAUGAUUAUGAUAAAGUGUUGAUUGAAUGGUUUACUCACAUGUAUGUGGUUUUCUGAAGUGAAAGGGUAGUUCUCACUUAGGAAUACCUAUGAGCUAUUAUGAUGAGAUGUUCACAUAGGGGUCUGGAAGAGACUAAUAUGAUCUUGUAUGAUGAGUAUGAUGAUUACUAAAGGGAAUAAACGCUAGCACCGAAAGGGCAUGUAAAUGAGAUGGAGGUCUCACAUUUAGUAAGUCCGGCCUCUCACAUGAGUUUCUUCACGUUUAGUAAGUACAGAUUUCCAAGAUAUGUGUGUCUCAUGAGAUGGAAACCUCCAUGUUUAGCAAGUCUAGGUUUAUAGUAACAAUCUCCGUGACCCUUACUAUGUGCCCACAUAGGACUAUAGCUUAGUUGAUCUACCUAGAUAGAUAUGUAAGAAUGGUUACACCUUAGGCAAGUGUUAACCCUCUCUUUUCGGUGUGGGAGGAUAACAUCGGAUUCCAUGUAGCUCACAAGGUCUCAUGUUGGUUAUUGCACUUCUUUCCCAAAUGAAAUAAGAUAAAUAAAUAAGUCAAGUAUGUGAACUUUUUAGGACUUGUCUUGAAGGUUGCUACAUAGGGUGAGGGAGGGUAUGGGACUUCUCUUACUCAUUGCACAUGUGGGACCCUAAGAGAGGGUUCUAUAAGUAAGUGUGUAUAAUUAAGUUAGUUACAUGUUAUGUCUGUUAAGUUUUAUAUGAACUUACAAAUCAAGCAUGUUUUGAUAAAGUAUGAUACUAUGUUGUAUGCAUGUUGUAAGUGACUUAAUGUGAUGCUUAGCUUUGGAUAGGUCAUGGGGUUCUAUUCUUGGCAUUGCACAAGUAUUGCAUUAGGUUGCUUAUGUGUUGGGUUAAUAUCAUGUUGGUUUUAAAAUUCUAUAUAUGUGCAUGUUGAAUUAUUGAACAUAAUGCAUGGUUUUGACUAAAUUGUGUCUUUUCUCAUGCAUUAAUGAUUUUACGCAUAGGAGUCAUACUUGGUACAUAUGUUUUGUACUAACCUACAUUUCUUCCCUUUUCCCCCCAAUAUUUUAGGUUUCGGCCAUUGAAUAGCUGCUAGGCCACUUUGCAAGGAUACUUGGACUUCUUCCACCAAGUAGUUGGUGAGUCCUCCAAGUUCGAGGAUGGCGCCUUUUGAUCUACCCCGGUAGUAUUGCUAUAGUCUAAAGACAUUCAUUUCCCUCCUAUUGUUGAAGAUAUUGUUGUAAUACCUAUAUGGCAAUUAUGGAUCUGUAUAAGGGCUAAGCCCAAAUGUUCUACUUUGUUUUAGAUGGUUUAAUGUGAGGCAGUAUAAUUAGACUAAAUCUUUAUAUGUUGGCUACAUUAUCUAAAGGAGAAGCCUAUGUAAGUGUCCUAUGCGAAGAGUCUAUGUAAACUCCAUAUGUAUGCAUAAAGUAAGCGAG